GGAUUGUAGCUCAGUGGUAGAGCGUUCAUCUAGCACAUGCGAGGCCCUGGGUUCGAUCCCCAGCACCA
This 68-nucleotide transfer RNA is filed under the name Marmota monax (woodchuck). RNAcentral's name for it is "tRNA.Ala". The stretch from base 5 to 65 matches the Rfam family "tRNA", at positions 6 to 65 of the family's 71-position model. From Rfam's summary of the family: Transfer RNA (tRNA) molecules are approximately 80 nucleotides in length. Their secondary structure includes four short double-helical elements and three loops (D, anti-codon, and T loops). Further hydrogen bonds mediate the characteristic L-shaped molecular structure. tRNAs have two regions of fundamental functional importance: the anti-codon, which is responsible for specific mRNA codon recognition, and the 3' end, to which the tRNAs corresponding amino acid is attached (by aminoacyl-tRNA synthetases). tRNAs cope with the degeneracy of the genetic code in two manners: having more than one tRNA (with a specific anti-codon) for a particular amino acid; and 'wobble' base-pairing, i.e. permitting non-standard base-pairing at the 3rd anti-codon position. The record is from RNAcentral. Lineage: Eukaryota; Metazoa; Chordata; Mammalia; Rodentia; Sciuridae.